GGCGAUGAAGUGUAUGAAUGAUG
Molecule: small nuclear RNA, 23 nt
Filed under: Arabidopsis thaliana (thale cress)
Lineage: Eukaryota; Viridiplantae; Streptophyta; Magnoliopsida; Brassicales; Brassicaceae
Description: snRNA_03396
Source: RNAcentral